GCUUUCACGAGAAUCCAAUAUUAUUCAGAUGCAUUUUAUUUUGUAACAUGCAAUAUAUUAAUCUUAAAAUAAAAUGUGUAGCUAUUCAUAUUUACGUUCAAUAUCUUAUUUAAUAUAUCGAUCAAGUAUAGUUUCUCUAUGCAUAUCUGCGCACUUAAUGAGAAUAAUCAGCGUUCGCUGUUACUGAAUAUUAAAUAAUUUUUUAUAAUCGCUGUAGCUAGAUUAUAAUAGAUUUUUAUGUAUUUAUGAUAAGUUUGACGAUGCAAAAAUACACAGGAUGCACAUAAUCUGCAAAAGUACUAAAAUGUUCGAAAUAUAGCAUUUAUUAUAUUAC
RNAcentral lists this unclassified non-coding RNA (334 nucleotides) under Bombus terrestris (buff-tailed bumblebee). Its description in RNAcentral is "misc RNA ENSBTSG00005026234.1". Lineage: Eukaryota; Metazoa; Arthropoda; Insecta; Hymenoptera; Apidae. The record is from RNAcentral.